CCUACGGGAGGCUGCAGUGGGGAAUAUUGCACAAUGGGCGCAAGCCUGAUGCAGCCAUGCCGCGUGUGUGAAGAAGGCCUUCGGGUUGUAAAGCACUUUCAGCGGGGAGGAAGGCGUUAAGGUUAAUAACCUUGUCGAUUGACGUUACCCGCAGAAGAAGCACCGGCUAACUCCGUGCCAGCAGCCGCGGUAAUACGGAGGGUGCAAGCGUUAAUCGGAAUUACUGGGCGUAAAGCGCACGCAGGCGGUCUGUCAAGUCGGAUGUGAAAUCCCCGGGCUCAACCUGGGAACUGCAUUCGAAACUGGCAGGCUAGAGUCUUGUAGAGGGGGGUAGAAUUCCAGGUGUAGCGGUGAAAUGCGUAGAGAUCUGGAGGAAUACCGGUGGCGAAGGCGGCCCCCUGGACAAAGACUGACGCUCAGGUGCGAAAGCGUGGGGAGCAAACAGGAUUAAAUACCCCUGUAGUC
This 465-nucleotide ribosomal RNA is filed under the name uncultured Klebsiella sp. RNAcentral's name for it is "bacterial SSU rRNA". It matches the Rfam family "Bacterial small subunit ribosomal RNA", at positions 338 to 795 of the family's 1533-position model. Lineage: Bacteria; Pseudomonadati; Pseudomonadota; Gammaproteobacteria; Enterobacterales; Enterobacteriaceae. The record is from RNAcentral.